CCUACGGGAGGCAGCAGUGGGGAAUAUUGCACAAUGGGGGAAACCCUGAUGCAGCGACGCCGCGUGAGUGAUGAAGGAAUUCGGUUUGUAAAGCGCUAUCAGCAGGGAAGAAAAUGACGGUACCUGAGUAAUAAGCCCCGGCUAACUCCGUGCCAGCAGCCGCGGUAAUACGUAGGGCGCAAGCGUUAUCCGGAUUUACUGGGUGUAAAGGGAGCGUAGACGGCAGUGCAAGUCUGGUGUGAAAGGCGGGGGCUCAACCACCGGACUGCUCUGGAAACUGUACGGCUAGAGUGAGGGAGAGGUAAGUGGAAUUCCUAGUGUAGCGGUGAAAUGCGUAGAUAUAAGGAGGAACACCAGUGGCGAAGGCGGCUUACUGGACCGUAACUGACGCUGAGGCUCGAAAGCGUGGAGAGCAAACAGGAUUAGAUACCCGAGUAGUC
This 440-nucleotide ribosomal RNA is filed under the name uncultured bacterium. RNAcentral describes it as "partial 16S ribosomal RNA". It matches the Rfam family "Bacterial small subunit ribosomal RNA", at positions 338 to 795 of the family's 1533-position model. The record is from RNAcentral.